Molecule: ribosomal RNA, 1349 nt
Filed under: metagenome
Description: bacterial LSU rRNA
Rfam family: Bacterial large subunit ribosomal RNA
Source: RNAcentral
UGAAUACGAGAUGCUACGGCGUCGAAGCAGUGUAUGUCAGACUUCCAAGAAAAGCUCGCAAGGUCAUAAAUAAAGAAUGCCUGUACCAUAACCGACACAGGUGGGUAGGUAGAGUAUACUAAGGGGCGCGAGAUAACUCUCUCUAAGGAACUCGGCAAAAUAACUCCGUAACUUCGGGAGAAGGAGUGCCUUCUAUUAGAAGGUUGCAAUAACAAGAUCCAAGCAACUGUUUAUCAAAAACACAGGUUUCCGCUAAGUCGUAAGACGAUGUAUGGGGGCUGACGCCUGCCCAGUGCCAGAAGGUUAAAGAAGUUGGUUAGCUUUGGCGAAGCUGAUGACUGAAGCCCUGGUGAACGGCGGCCGUAACGAUAACGGUCCUAAGGUAGCGAAAUUCCUUGUCGGGUAAGUUCCGACCCGCACGAAAGGCGUAAUGAUUUGGAUACUGUCUCGGAGAGGGACUCGGUGAAAUAGACUUGUCUGUGAAGAUGCGGACUACCUGCACCAGGACAGAAAGACCCUAUGAAGCUUUACUGUAACUUGAAAUUGAAAUUGGACUUUAUUUGCGCAGCAUAGGUGGAAGGCGUUGAGAGUACUCUUGCGGGAGUACUGGAGCCAUCAGUGAGAUACCACUCCUAUAAUGUUAGAUUUCUAACUUUGGAUCAUAAUCUGGUCAAAGAACAGUUUCAGGCGGGCAGUUUGACUGGGGCGGUCGCCUCCCAAAUGGUAACGGAGGCGUACAAAGGUUUCCUCUGAACGGGUAGAAAUCGUAUCUAGAGUGUAAAGGCAUAAGGAAGCUUGACUGUGAGACCUACAAGUCGAGCAGGGACGAAAGUCGGUCUUAGUGAUCUGACGGUGCUGAGUGGAAAGGCCGUCACUCAACGGAUAAAAGUUACUCUAGGAUAACAGGCUGAUCUCCCCCAAGAGUUCACAUCGACGGGGAGGUUUGGCACCUCGAUGUCGGCUCAUCGCAUCCUGGGGCGGUAGUACGUCCCAAGGGUUGGGCUGUUCGCCCAUGAAAGCGGUACGCGAGCUGGGUUCAGAACAUCGUGAGACAGUUCGGUCCAUAUCCGGUGUAGGCGUUAGAAUAUUGAGAGGAGCCUUCUUUAGUACGAGAGGACCGAGAAGGACAUACCUCUGGUGUACCAGUUAUCGUGCCAACGGUAAACGCUGGGUAGCUAUGUAUGGAGAGGAUAACCGCUGAAAGCAUCUAAGUGGGAAACCCACCUCAAGAUGAGUAUUCUCAUGGCGUUAGCCAGUAAGGUCACGGGAAGAACACCCGUUGAUAGGCUCUACGUGGAAGCCGGGUAACCGGUGAAGCGGAGGAGUACUAAUAGACCGAGGGCUUGACC